This 429-nucleotide ribosomal RNA is filed under the name Bacillota bacterium. Its description in RNAcentral is "Firmicutes bacterium partial 16S ribosomal RNA". It matches the Rfam family "Bacterial small subunit ribosomal RNA", at positions 355 to 776 of the family's 1533-position model. The record is from RNAcentral. Lineage: Bacteria; Bacillati; Bacillota.
UGGGGAAUUUUGGACAAUGGGGGCAACCCUGAUCCAGCCAUCCCGCGUGUGCGAUGAAGGCCUUCGGGUUGUAAAGCACUUUUGGCAGGGAAGAAACGGCGCUGGUUAAUACCUGGCGCACCUGACGGUACCUGCAGAAUAAGCACCGGCUAACUACGUGCCAGCAGCCGCGGUAAUACGUAGGGUGCAAGCGUUAAUCGGAAUUACUGGGCGUAAAGCGUGCGCAGGCGGUUCGGCAAGAAGGAUGUGAAAUCCCAGGGCUUAACCUUGGAACUGCAUUCUUAACUGCCGGGCUAGAGUAUGUCAGAGGGGGGUAGAAUUCCACGUGUAGCAGUGAAAUGCGUAGAGAUGUGGAGGAAUACCGAUGGCGAAGGCAGCCCCCUGGGAUAAUACUGACGCUCAUGCACGAAAGCGUGGGGAGCAAACAGG